RNAcentral lists this ribosomal RNA (876 nucleotides) under Exserohilum rostratum. RNAcentral describes it as "partial large subunit ribosomal RNA". It matches the Rfam family "Eukaryotic large subunit ribosomal RNA", at positions 73 to 955 of the family's 3401-position model. The record is from RNAcentral. Lineage: Eukaryota; Fungi; Ascomycota; Dothideomycetes; Pleosporales; Pleosporaceae.
UGCCCCAUAGUAAGGGGCGAGAGAAGCGGCAACAGCUCAAAUUUGAAAUCUGGCUCUUUCAGAGUCCGAGUUGUAAUUUGCAGAGGGCGCUUUGGCUUUGGCAGCGGUCCAAGUUCCUUGGAACAGGACGUCACAGAGGGUGAGAAUCCCGUACGUGGUCGCUAGCUAUUGCCGUGUAAAGCCCCUUCGACGAGUCGAGUUGUUUGGGAAUGCAGCUCUAAAUGGGAGGUAAAUUUCUUCUAAAGCUAAAUAUUGGCCAGAGACCGAUAGCGCACAAGUAGAGUGAUCGAAAGAUGAAAAGCACUUUGGAAAGAGAGUCAAACAGCACGUGAAAUUGUUGAAAGGGAAGCGCUUGCAGCCAGACUUGCUUGCAGUUGCUCAUCCGGGCUUUUGCCCGGUGCACUCUUCUGCAGGCAGGCCAGCAUCAGUUUGGGCGGUGGGAUAAAGGUCUCUGUCAUGUACCUCUCUUCGGGGAGGCCUUAUAGGGGAGGCGACAUACCACCAGCCUAGACUGAGGUCCGCGCAUCUGCUAGGAUGCUGGCGUAAUGGCUGUAAGCGGCCCGUCUUGAAACACGGACCAAGGAGUCUAACAUCUAUGCGAGUGUUUGGGUGUCAAGCCCGAGCGCGUAAUGAAAGUGAACGGAGGUGGGAACCCGCAAGGGUGCACCAUCGACCGAUCCUGAAGUUUACGGAAGGAUUUGGGUAAGAAGGAUGGGCUGUUGGGACCCGAAAGAUGGGGAACUAUGCUUGGAGGAGGGGAAGGCAGAGGGAGCUCUGUGGGGGGGUUUCAACCAUUUCUGGACGUGGGGAAUCGAAUCGGCAAAGUUUGAGCGAUAGGGGCGGAAGUACUAAAUGCGAACUAUCUUAGUAGCUGGG